CUUGACUGUAGCUUGGAAUUGGGUUCGGGCUCUUCUUGCGCAGCCUAGGUGGGAGGCGUUGAAAGCUUUCUUUUGGGGAAGCUGGAGCCAUCAGUGAGAGACCACUCUGGAGGAGCUAGAAUUCUAAUGGCGUUCCUUGAAGCAGGACGCUUGACAGUUUCAGGUGGGCAGUUUGACUGGGGCGGUCACCUCCUAAAAGGUAACGGAGGUGUGCAAAGGUUCCCUCAGGCUGGACGGAAAUCAGCCGUAGAGUGUAAAGGCAGAAGGGAGCUUGACUGCAAGACUUACAAGUCGAGCAGGGGCGAAAGCCGGCCUUAGUGAUCCGACGGUACCGUGUGGAAGGGCCGUCGCUCAACGGAUAAAAGUUA
This 368-nucleotide ribosomal RNA is filed under the name uncultured organism. Its description in RNAcentral is "bacterial LSU rRNA". It matches the Rfam family "Bacterial large subunit ribosomal RNA", at positions 2099 to 2465 of the family's 2925-position model. The record is from RNAcentral.